UCUACGGGAGGCAGCAGUGAGGAAUAUUGGUCAAUGGUCGCAAGACUGAACCAGCCAUGCCGCGUGCAGGAAGACGGUCCUAUGGAUUGUAAACUGCUUUUAUACAGGAAGAAACCCUCCCACGUGUGGGAGCUUGACGGUACUGUAGGAAUAAGGAUCGGCUAACUCCGUGCCAGCAGCCGCGGUAAUACGGAGGAUCCAAGCGUUAUCCGGAAUCAUUGGGUUUAAAGGGUCCGUAGGCGGUCUUAUAAGUCAGUGGUGAAAGCCCAUCGCUCAACGAUGGAACUGCCAUUGAUACUGUAAGACUUGAAUGCUUAGGAAGUAACUAGAAUAUGUAGUGUAGCGGUGAAAUGCUUAGAUAUUACAUGGAAUACCAAUUGCGAAGGCAGGUUACUACUAAGUGAUUGACGCUGAUGGACGAAAGCGUGGGGAGCGAACAGGAUUAGAUACCCGAGUAGUCC
This 461-nucleotide ribosomal RNA is filed under the name Pseudomonas sp. DCB_PUT. Its description in RNAcentral is "bacterial SSU rRNA". It matches the Rfam family "Bacterial small subunit ribosomal RNA", at positions 338 to 796 of the family's 1533-position model. Lineage: Bacteria; Pseudomonadati; Pseudomonadota; Gammaproteobacteria; Pseudomonadales; Pseudomonadaceae. The record is from RNAcentral.